UCCCUGGUGGUCCAGUGGUUAGGAGUCUGCUUUGCGAUGCAGGGGACACAGAUUCAAUCCCUGUUUGGGGAA
Molecule: transfer RNA, 72 nt
Filed under: Bos taurus (domestic cattle)
Lineage: Eukaryota; Metazoa; Chordata; Mammalia; Artiodactyla; Bovidae
Also listed under: 3 other names
Rfam family: tRNA
About the family: Transfer RNA (tRNA) molecules are approximately 80 nucleotides in length. Their secondary structure includes four short double-helical elements and three loops (D, anti-codon, and T loops).
Source: Rfam by way of RNAcentral